AGAUGCAAAAUCAAAUCAUGAUGCUUUUGUUGGGAGAAUUUUUGUAUUCAGUAUUUUGUAUGUACCUUUUUUUUUUUAAAUUGGAAAGCACAAUUCGGUUUAACAUUUAGCUUUGCUUGACUCCAGUGUAAGAUGAAGAUGACCUUGUCACAGCUCCCCUGACCUGAAGCAGAGCCCUUCCCAUCACUGACAGUGUUGGGGGUUGAGAGCCCCCCAGCAGAGCCCUUCCCAUCACUGACAGUGUCAGGGGUUGAGAGCCCCUCAGCAGAGCCCUUCCCAUCACUGACAGUGUCGGGGGUUGAGAGUCCCCCAGCAGAGCCCUUCCCAUCACUGACAGUGUUGGGGGUUGAGAGUCCCCCAACAGAGCCCUUCCCAUCACUGACAGUGUCGGGGGUUGAGAGCCCCCCAGCAGAGCCCUUCCCAUCACUGACAGUGUCGGGGGUUGAGAGCCCCCCCAGCAAGCCCUUCCUAUCACUGACAGUGUCGGGGGCUGAGAGCCCCCCAGCAGAGCCCUUCCCAUCACUGACAGUGUCAGGGGCUGAGACCCCCCCAGCAGAGCCCUUCCCAUCACUGACAGUGUCGGGUUGAGAGCCACCUACAGAGAUUUUCUGUCAGCAGUUUCCCAGUAUUUCAGACUCAUAAUCUGUGUUUAGCACUCCAGUGUUCUCUUGUAAUAGCCAGGUCUGGAAACGACCCAUGGAAAGAGGGGCCUUUGUAUUCUGCUAGAACACAGAGCAUAGUAGUAGAUCACUUUUCUGAAGAGCUUUUUAAAAUACAGCUAAUCAAGGAGUUUGCGAUUUCUCUUACUUUCUACAGCUCAGCAGUGACUAAUGAUGUGUGACUAUGCUAAUGAGUUUGAUGAAUUCGUAAAAACUAAGCGCUUAAAUGGUUAUAGAAAUGAAAACAUGGAUAUUUAGAAGCCUUUCUAUAUACACAGUGCAGUUGAGAUGGUUUCCAGCAAAUUUCGUUUUAUUUCUGAAAAUGUUGUAAACAUGUAAUUAGUGAAAGAUUUUGUAAAACAUUGUCCUGUAUUUUUGUCUGUAAAUAUAUUGCAUAAGUUCUAAGUAUAAAUAUGUCAGUAUCAUGUAUGUUAUUUUAAAUUGCCUGUACGCCACUUUACACAUUGACAUUCAAAUAAAAGCCAACACUUCAGUGGCGUGUAAUAAAAGCUGAUUGGAGCGUGUUCAUACCUGAGGUGUGGUUCCCUUGGCAAAGGUGAAUCAAGGAAAGAGCAUCUCAUUUCCAGAGGGAAUGU
RNAcentral lists this long non-coding RNA (1255 nucleotides) under Pan troglodytes (chimpanzee). RNAcentral's name for it is "long non-coding RNA NONPTRT011775". The record is from RNAcentral. Lineage: Eukaryota; Metazoa; Chordata; Mammalia; Primates; Hominidae.